Molecule: ribosomal RNA, 253 nt
Filed under: uncultured bacterium
Lineage: Bacteria
Description: partial 16S ribosomal RNA
Rfam family: Bacterial small subunit ribosomal RNA
Source: RNAcentral
GACGAACCGUGCAAACGUUGUUCGGAAUCACUGGGCUUAAAGGGCGCGUAGGCGGUCGACCAAGUCCGGGGUGAAAUCUUUCGGCUUAACCGGAAAAGUGCCUUGGAUACUGGCCGGCUGGAGGGAGGUAGGGGCAGGUGGAACUUCCAGUGGAGCGGUGAAAUGCGUUGAUAUUGGAAGGAACGCCGGUGGCGAAAGCGAUCUGCUGGACCUCUUCUGACGCUGAGGCGCGAAAGCUAGGGGAGCAAACGGG